This 793-nucleotide ribosomal RNA is filed under the name uncultured Methanosarcinales archaeon. RNAcentral's name for it is "bacterial SSU rRNA". It matches the Rfam family "Archaeal small subunit ribosomal RNA", at positions 85 to 879 of the family's 1478-position model. The record is from RNAcentral. Lineage: Archaea; Methanobacteriati; Methanobacteriota; Methanomicrobia; Methanosarcinales.
ACKGCUCAGUAACACGUGGACAACCUACCCUCAGCACGGGGAUAAACCCGGGAAACUGGGUAUAAUACCCGAUAGUCCUCGAAUGCUGGAAUGCAUCGAGUUCGAAAACUCCGGUGCCCAAGGAUGGGUCUGCGGCCUAUCAGGUAGUAGUGGGUGUAGCGUACCUACUAGCCUACGACGGGUACGGGUUGUGAGAGCAAGAGCCCGGAGAUGGAUUCUGAGACACGAAUCCAGGCCCUACGGGGUGCAGCAGGCGCGAAAACUUUACAAUGCCGGCAACGGCGAUAAGGGAACCUCGAGUGCCAGGAUACAAUCCUGGCUGUCGUAAUGCCUAAAAAGCAUUUCAUAGCAAGGGCCGGGCAAGACCGGUGCCAGCCGCCGCGGUAACACCGGCGGCUCGAGUGGUGACCGCUAUUAUUGGGUUUAAAGGGUCUGUAGCCGGCCGGAUAAGUCUCUUGAGAAAUCUGGCCGCUCAACGGUCAGGCUUUCAGGAGAUACUGUCUGGCUCGAGGCCGGGAGAGGUGAGAGGUACUUCAGGGGUAGGGGUGAAAUCUUGUAAUCCUUGAAGGACCACCAGUGGCGAAGGCGUCUCACCAGAACGGACCUGACGGCAAGGGACGAAAGCUAGGGGCACGAACCGGAUUAGAUACCCGGGUAGUCCUAGCCGUAAACGAUACUCGCUAGGUGUUGGCCACGGUGCGACCGUUGUCGGUGCCGUAGGGAAGCCGUGAAGCGAGCCACCUGGGAAGUACGGCCGCAAGGCUGAAACUUAAAGGAAUUGGCGGGGGAGCAC